AUUAGCUGGAUACAGCAGUCAACAUCCCAUAGAAGCAACAAUACCACUUCCUUGCAGGGCUGGGCCAGCGCCUCAAAUGGUCUGAAGCAUCCAGAUCCAGAAACAAUUAGAAGGCAGCUGGACCUUCCGACAAACUGGUAGAACUGAAACUACUCAGGAGUCGUAUAGUUCCUUCCCUGCCUAACCUGGGCAGAAAAUCCUGUUACCGUGGAAGAGAGUGAUCUCGGCAGGGAAAAAAAGAUCACCUGCUCAAGGGGAAGCCAACUAUCACGUCCUGAGGAGGCCGAUGGGCAUAUGGAGGGGCCCACAUGAAAAGGGACUGAGACUCUAAAUCCAACAGCUUUAUGAGGAAAUGAGCUCUGCCAACAGCCACUAGAGAAUACAGAUGGUCUAUUGCCAAGAUCUCCUCAGACUACGAGGCUGACCGAACUGCACUCGACAAUGAAAUGGAGCCCCACAUUAGAAGUGCCGGGCCUG
Molecule: non-coding RNA, 477 nt
Organism: Callithrix jacchus (white-tufted-ear marmoset)
Lineage: Eukaryota; Metazoa; Chordata; Mammalia; Primates; Cebidae
Source: RefSeq, a predicted model, not a curated record